RNAcentral lists this ribosomal RNA (497 nucleotides) under uncultured bacterium. RNAcentral's name for it is "partial 16S ribosomal RNA". It matches the Rfam family "Bacterial small subunit ribosomal RNA", at positions 28 to 507 of the family's 1533-position model. The record is from RNAcentral.
GAUGAACGCUGGCGGCGUGCCUAAUACAUGCAAGUCGAGCGAACAGACGAGGAGCUUGCUCCUCUGACGUUAGCGGCGGACGGGUGAGUAACACGUGGAUAACCCACCUAUAAGACUGGGAUAACUUCGGGAAACCGGAGCUAAUACCGGAUAAUAUAUUGAACCGCAUGGUUCAAUAGUGUAAGACGGUUUUGCUGUCACUUAUAGAUGGAUCCGCGCCGCUUUAGCUAGUUGGUAAGGUAACGGCUUACCAAGGCAACGAUGCGUAGCCGACCUGAGAGGGUGAUCGGCCACCCUGGAACUGAGGCGCGGGCCAGACUCCUACGGGAGGCAGCAGUAGGGAAUCUUCCGCAAUGGGCGGAAGCCUGACGGGGCAACGCCGCGUGAGUGAUGAAGGUCUUCGGAUCGUAAAACUCUGUUAUUAGGGAAGAACAAAUGUGUAAGUAACUAUGCACGUCUUGACGGUACCUGAACAGAAAGCCACGGCUAACUACGUG